AAAAACUGAGGUGGUGUAAGAUGGGCCCGCGUCUGAUUAGGUAGUUGGUGGGGUAGAAGCCUACCAAGCCGACGAUCAGUAGCCGACCUGAGAGGGCGACCGGCCACAUUGGGACUGAGACACGGCCCAAACUCCUACGGGAGGCAGCAGUGGGGAAUAUUGCACAAUGGGGGAAACCCUGAUGCAGUGACGCCGCGUGAGUGAGGAAGUAUUUCGGUAUGUAAAGCUCUAUCAGCAGGGAAGAAAAUGACGGUACCUGACUAAGAAGCCCCGGCUAACUACGUGCCAGCAGCCGCGGUAAUACGUAGGGGGCAAGCGUUAUCCGGAUUUACUGGGUGUAAAGGGAGCGUAGACGGAUAAGCAAGUCUGAUGUGAAAAUCCGGGGCCCAACCCCGGAAUUGCAUUGGAAACUGCAUAUCUAGAGUGUCGGAGAGGCAAGUGGAAUUCCUGGUGUAGCGGUGAAAUGCGUAGAUAUCAGGAGGAACACCAGUGGCGAAGGCGGCUUGCUGGACGAUGACUGACGUUGAGGCUCGAAAGCGUGGGGAGCAAACAGGAUUAGAUACCCUGGUAGUCCACGCCGUAAACGAUGACGACUAGGUGUCGGGAGGCAAAGCCUUUCG
This 620-nucleotide ribosomal RNA is filed under the name uncultured bacterium. Its description in RNAcentral is "bacterial SSU rRNA". It matches the Rfam family "Bacterial small subunit ribosomal RNA", at positions 202 to 842 of the family's 1533-position model. The record is from RNAcentral.